RNAcentral lists this ribosomal RNA (483 nucleotides) under uncultured bacterium. RNAcentral's name for it is "partial 16S ribosomal RNA". It matches the Rfam family "Bacterial small subunit ribosomal RNA", at positions 28 to 523 of the family's 1533-position model. The record is from RNAcentral.
GACGAACGCUGGCGGCGUGCUUAACACAUGCAAGUCGAACGGUGAAAGCGGAGCUUGCUCCGCUGGAUCAGUGGCGAACGGGUGAGUAACACGUGGGCAACCUGCCCCUCACUUCGGGAUAACUCCGGGAAACCGGGGCUAAUACCGGAUAUGACCUCCUUGGGCAUCCUUGGAGGUGGAAAGUUUUUCGGUGAGGGAUGGGCCCGCGGCCUAUCAGCUUGUUGGUGAGGUAGUGGCUCACCAAGGCGACGACAGGUAGCCGGCCUGAGAGGGCGACCGGCCACACUGGGACUGAGACACGGCCCAGACUCCUACGGGAGGCAGCAGUGGGGAAUAUUGCGCAAUGGGCGAAAGCCUGACGCAGCAACGCCGCGUGCGGGAUGAAGGCCUUCGGGUUGUAAACCGCUUUCAGCAGGGAAGAAGCGAAAGUGACGGUACCUGCAGAAGAAGCACCGGCUAACUACGUGCCAGCAGCCGCGGUAA